UGGGGAAUAUUGCACAAUGGACGAAAGUCUGAUGCAGCGACGCCGCGUGGGGGAUGAAGGUUUUCGGAUUGUAAACCCCUGUUAAGUGGGAAAAAAGACUCGUAUUUAAAAGAUGCGAGGGAUGAUGGUACCACUAAAGAAAGCUCCGGCAAACUUCGUGCCAGCAGCCGCGGUAAUACGAAGGGAGCAAGCGUUAUUCGGAAUAACUGGGCGUAAAGAGCGCAAUGGCGGUUACUUAAGUCGGAUGUUAAAUUUCCUCGCCUAACGAGGAAUCGGCGUCUGAAACUGGGUGGCUAGAGUGCAAAAGAGAGGGGUGGAAUUCCUGGAGUAGCGGUAAAAUGCGUAGAUCUCAGGAGGAACACCGAUGGCGAAGGCAGCCCCUUGGGUUGCAACUGACGCUUAAGCGCGAAAGCGUGGGGAGCAAACAGG
This 429-nucleotide ribosomal RNA is filed under the name uncultured bacterium. Its description in RNAcentral is "bacterial SSU rRNA". It matches the Rfam family "Bacterial small subunit ribosomal RNA", at positions 355 to 776 of the family's 1533-position model. The record is from RNAcentral.